GCCGGUGAUAAACCGGAGGAAGGUGGGGACGACGUCAAGUCAUCAUGGCCCUUACGAGUAGGGCUACACACGUGCUACAAUGGCGCAUACAGAGGGCGGCGAGCCAGCGAUGGUGAGCGAAUCCCAAAAAGUGCGUCGUAGUCCGGAUUGGAGUCUGCAACUCGACUCCAUGAAGUCGGAAUCGCUAGUAAUCGUGGAUCAGAAUGCCACGGUGAAUACGUUCCCGGGCCUUGUACACACCGCCCGUCACACCAUGGGAGUGGGCUGCAAAAGAAGUAGGUAGUUUAACCUUCGGGGGGACGCUUACCACUUUGUGGUUCAUGACUGGGGUGAAGUCGUAACAAGGUAGCGCUAGGGGAACCUGGCGCUGGAUCACCUCCUUAU
RNAcentral lists this ribosomal RNA (384 nucleotides) under Vibrio sp. ES.051. RNAcentral's name for it is "bacterial SSU rRNA". It matches the Rfam family "Bacterial small subunit ribosomal RNA", at positions 1151 to 1533 of the family's 1533-position model. Lineage: Bacteria; Pseudomonadati; Pseudomonadota; Gammaproteobacteria; Vibrionales; Vibrionaceae. The record is from RNAcentral.